GGAUGUGAGGGUGAUCUGGCCGUGACAUCUGUCAACCCCCCCCCCCCUGCCCCCCGUUGAUGACCAGGUUUGAUAUGGAUGAUGUCCCCUCCCUAAUCCACGUGAGACCAUGCAGAAGUUUCACACUCUGGCUGAGAGCUUGGCCUUCCUCACAGAGAUGGACCAGUCUUUGGUGAGAGGAUACUAGCAGCUACUCUUCCCUGCUAGACCCUGCAGAUAAGCUCCCGUGGUUCACCUGUAGGACAAUGCAGGGUAGUCAUAUUUCUAGGAAUUCAGACAGCGCAUGUGGUAAUCU
This 295-nucleotide small nuclear RNA is filed under the name Erinaceus europaeus (western European hedgehog). RNAcentral describes it as "7SK RNA". It matches the Rfam family "7SK RNA". Rfam says of the family: 7SK was discovered as an abundant small nuclear RNA in the mid-70s but a possible function has only recently been suggested. Two independent studies have found that 7SK RNA binds the CDK9/cyclin T complex (known as elongation factor P-TEFb). Lineage: Eukaryota; Metazoa; Chordata; Mammalia; Eulipotyphla; Erinaceidae. The record is from Rfam by way of RNAcentral.